Cinara cedri is the source of this 234-nucleotide non-coding RNA. The record is from the annotation of a GenBank genome assembly. NCBI's taxonomy places the organism in Eukaryota, Metazoa, Arthropoda, Insecta, Hemiptera, Aphididae.
AUUCAGCCGACAGUGUUUAAUCCAGAAAAGUUUCCUGGGGGAGGCUUGCCUUUUUUCAUUGGUAAUUUCUAAAAAUCGAACGAGUAUUGUUCGUUUAAUAAAUAAUUUUUGUUGACAGUCGUAUUUUGUCAGGGGGCGAAUUGAAUUCCGGGCGGGCAUUCAUCCCCCUUGGAGUGUACCAAGAUUCAACAGUGUUCAGCAGUCGUGUUUAACGGUGGACAAAUUAGAGGGAGG